GUGGGGGAUAUUGCACAAUGGGGGAAACCCUGAUGCAGCAACGCCGCGUGAAGGAAGAAGGUCUUCGGAUUGUAAACUUUUGUCCUUGGUGAAGAUAAUGACGGUAGCCAAGGAGGAAGCUCCGGCUAACUACGUGCC
This 138-nucleotide ribosomal RNA is filed under the name uncultured bacterium. RNAcentral describes it as "partial 16S ribosomal RNA". It matches the Rfam family "Bacterial small subunit ribosomal RNA", at positions 354 to 509 of the family's 1533-position model. The record is from RNAcentral.